GCGAAAACUUUACAAUGCUGGCAACAGCGAUAAGGGAACCUCGAGUGCCAGGUUACAAAUCUGGCUGUCGAGAUGCCUAAAAAGCAUUUCAUAGCAAGGGCCGGGCAAGACCGGUGCCAGCCGCCGCGGUAACACCGGCGGCUCGAGUGGUAACCGUUAUUAUUGGGUCUAAAGGGUCUGUAGCCGGCCGGAUAAGUCUCUUGAGAAAUCUGGCAGCGUAACUGUCAGGCUUUCAGGAGAUACUGUCUGGCUCGAGGCCGGGAGAGGUGAGAGGUACUUCAGGGGUAGGGGUGAAAUCUUGUAAUCCGUGAAGGACCACCAGUUGCGAAGGCGUCUCACCAGAACGGACCUGACGGCAAGGGACGAAAGCUAGGGGCACGAACC
RNAcentral lists this ribosomal RNA (384 nucleotides) under uncultured prokaryote. RNAcentral describes it as "bacterial SSU rRNA". It matches the Rfam family "Archaeal small subunit ribosomal RNA", at positions 341 to 725 of the family's 1478-position model. The record is from RNAcentral.